CCUACGGGUGGCAGCAGUGGGGAAUAUUGGGCAAUGGAGGAAACUCUGACCCAGCAACGCCGCGUGAAUGAUGAAGGUCUUCGGAUUGUAAAGUUCUUUUCUAAGGGAAGAAGAAAGUGACGGUACCUUAGGAAUAAGCCUCGGCUAACUACGUGCCAGCAGCCGCGGUAAUACGUAGGAGGCAAGCGUUAUCCGGAAUGACUGGGCGUAAAGGGUGCGUAGGUGGUUUGAUAAGUUGGUAGCGUAACUCCGAGGCUCAACCUCGGCACUACUACCAAAACUGUCGGACUUGAGUGCAGGAGGGGCAACUGGAAUUCCUAGUGUAGCGGUGAAAUGCUUAGAUAUUGCGCAGAACUCCGAUUGCGAAGGCAGCAUACCGGCGGCGAUCUGACGCUGAGGCACGAAAGCGUGGGUAUCGAACAGGAUUAGAUACCCUAGUAGUC
Molecule: ribosomal RNA, 443 nt
Filed under: uncultured bacterium
Lineage: Bacteria
Description: partial 16S ribosomal RNA
Rfam family: Bacterial small subunit ribosomal RNA
Source: RNAcentral